GCCCAUCCAGCUCAGUCUGUAGAGCAUGUGACUUCUGAUCUCAGGGUCAUGAGUUCAAGCCUCACGUUUGGUG
RNAcentral lists this transfer RNA (73 nucleotides) under Felis catus (domestic cat). It matches the Rfam family "tRNA". Rfam says of the family: Transfer RNA (tRNA) molecules are approximately 80 nucleotides in length. Their secondary structure includes four short double-helical elements and three loops (D, anti-codon, and T loops). The record is from Rfam by way of RNAcentral. RNAcentral also lists the same sequence under 3 other names. Lineage: Eukaryota; Metazoa; Chordata; Mammalia; Carnivora; Felidae.